This 645-nucleotide ribosomal RNA is filed under the name Staphylococcus aureus. Its description in RNAcentral is "partial 23S ribosomal RNA". It matches the Rfam family "Bacterial large subunit ribosomal RNA", at positions 1603 to 2249 of the family's 2925-position model. The record is from RNAcentral. Lineage: Bacteria; Bacillati; Bacillota; Bacilli; Caryophanales; Staphylococcaceae.
CACUGCCGAGAAAAGCCUCUAGAUAGAAAAUAGGUGCCCGUACCGCAAACCGACACAGGUAGUCAAGAUGAGAAUUCUAAGGUGAGCGAGCGAACUCUCGUUAAGGAACUCGGCAAAAUGACCCCGUAACUUCGGGAGAAGGGGUGCUCUUUAGGGUUAACGCCCAGAAGAGCCGCAGUGAAUAGGCCCAAGCGACUGUUUAUCAAAAACACAGGUCUCUGCUAAACCGUAAGGUGAUGUAUAGGGGCUGACGCCUGCCCGGUGCUGGAAGGUUAAGAGGAGUGGUUAGCUUCUGCGAAGCUACGAAUCGAAGCCCCAGUAAACGGCGGCCGUAACUAUAACGGUCCUAAGGUAGCGAAAUUCCUUGUCGGGUAAGUUCCGACCCGCACGAAAGGCGUAACGAUUUGGGCACUGUCUCAACGAGAGACUCGGUGAAAUCAUAGUACCUGUGAAGAUGCAGGUUACCCGCGACAGGACGGAAAGACCCCGUGGAGCUUUACUGUAGCCUGAUAUUGAAAUUCGGCACAGCUUGUACAGGAUAGGUAGGAGCCUUUGAAACGUGAGCGCUAGCUUACGUGGAGGCGCUGGUGGGAUACUACCCUAGCUGUGUUGGCUUUCUAACCCGCACCACUUAUCGUGGUGGGA